GGUCUCAUGGUGUAAUGGUUAGCACUCUGGACUUUGAAUCCGGUAAUCCGAGUUCGAAUCUCGGUGAGACCA
Transfer RNA from Neotoma lepida (desert woodrat), 72 nucleotides. It matches the Rfam family "tRNA". From Rfam's summary of the family: Transfer RNA (tRNA) molecules are approximately 80 nucleotides in length. Their secondary structure includes four short double-helical elements and three loops (D, anti-codon, and T loops). Further hydrogen bonds mediate the characteristic L-shaped molecular structure. tRNAs have two regions of fundamental functional importance: the anti-codon, which is responsible for specific mRNA codon recognition, and the 3' end, to which the tRNAs corresponding amino acid is attached (by aminoacyl-tRNA synthetases). tRNAs cope with the degeneracy of the genetic code in two manners: having more than one tRNA (with a specific anti-codon) for a particular amino acid; and 'wobble' base-pairing, i.e. permitting non-standard base-pairing at the 3rd anti-codon position. The record is from Rfam. NCBI's taxonomy places the organism in Eukaryota, Metazoa, Chordata, Mammalia, Rodentia, Cricetidae.